RNAcentral lists this ribosomal RNA (253 nucleotides) under uncultured bacterium. RNAcentral describes it as "partial 16S ribosomal RNA". It matches the Rfam family "Bacterial small subunit ribosomal RNA", at positions 524 to 776 of the family's 1533-position model. The record is from RNAcentral.
UACGUAGGGGGCUAGCGUUGUCCGGAUUUAUUGGGCGUAAAGCGCGUGUAGGCGGUUUCGUAAGUCUGCUGUGAAAGUCGGAGGCUCAACCUUCGAAAGCCGGUGGAUACUGUGAGACUUGAGUACGGAAGAGGAGAGUGGAAUUCCUGGUGUAGCGGUGAAAUGCGCAGAUAUCAGGAGGAACACCAACGGCGAAGGCAGCUCUCUGGGACGUUACUGACGCUGAGACGCGAAAGCGUGGGGAGCAAACAGG